UGCUCAACGCUGCAGCCUUAGUUGCUAGUGUGAGGUGUUUGCAGUGUUUAGCAUUCCUGGUGCUUUUCUGGAUUUACUGCUGUUUCAUUUGACUUUUGGGGUCUCAGACUGUAAGUCGAUUUUGUUAAUAAAUCAUUGAACUCUUUCUGCAGCCUUAUCACCAGUUUGUCUCAUGUGGACCCAAGCUGCAGCUCCAGAGAUUAUGACAGCUAGUUUCUUUUAUUAGAUUGAUGUUUUCCUCCAUGGUGCAAAUAUUUGGACAAACAUAGAAAUCCUUUUUUUUAACUAGUUGAAUACUCAACAAUAUUUCUACAAACCCACUGAAUCAUGCCUGUGGUUAGCUGAUUGCUGGAAAAGAAGACCAGAACCAGGCCGACUCUGCUCUGCGUGGAUCUACCUUGUGAUGUGAUUUUGCUCCAACAGGCUCAGCAGGCACCCGGCAGACUCUCCUGAAUCUCUCCAUCACUGACCUUAAACGUCCCUGUGAACCGGAGCAGUCAGGUCAGGUCUGGGCCUGCCGGUCAUAACCACCAAGGUCAACUGAAACAGUUGUCUUCAGUCAUCUGGAAGUGGAGCCUCUGGGCGGUAAACACAGCGGUCAGCUCACGUCAGCUGUGACUUCAGGUGCUUCUGCUGAGACCCGCCUCCACCCCAUCAACCUCUAUUCAUCAUAUCCAGCGCCCAGGAGAGCUAAUCCCAAUACCUCAUCACACCUCCUCCUCAUCCCAUCUCCUCAUCAAAUCCAGUUACCCCUUAAGAUAUCCGAUAUCAGAAUCGGGGUCUAAUCAC
Eleginops maclovinus (Patagonian blennie) is the source of this 789-nucleotide long non-coding RNA. RefSeq lists it as uncharacterized. The record is from RefSeq and is a predicted model, not a curated record. NCBI's taxonomy places the organism in Eukaryota, Metazoa, Chordata, Actinopteri, Perciformes, Eleginopidae. The transcript is spliced from 3 exons.